UCGACGGGAAUCUUUCAAUCAUUGUCAACAAACCCAUCAAAAUUAAAGUCCAAUAAACCAAGUCUCUGUCAGACAUUUUCACAAAUACUGUUCAGGCACCCAUCACCACAAUCCAAAUACAGACGGAAGGUACACUUGCCAGCCCAAUUCUGGAUCCGUCUUCUCUAUCAAAGAACGAAGCUUUUUCUCAUGGUUGGCUUGGCAAUUUGCAGCAAGCUUUUUCGACAAAUUUAUUGAGUGUUCUUGAGUGUGAGCGCGUGAGACAGAAAGUGAGACCAUUUCUAAAACAGUCGAAAGGUCAGUGAGUUAUAUAUUUUUCGUUGGGCUUUGUUUGAAGUUAGGAAAACGCCUGUAUGUGGGCUGUGGGCUGUGAGAGUUUAUAGCAACACAAGCU
Molecule: long non-coding RNA, 394 nt
Filed under: Panax ginseng (ginseng)
Lineage: Eukaryota; Viridiplantae; Streptophyta; Magnoliopsida; Apiales; Araliaceae
Description: long non-coding RNA (PGIN_LNC010152)
Source: RNAcentral